CCUACGGGGGGCUGCAGUGGGGAAUAUUGGACAAUGGGCGAAAGCCUGAUCCAGCCAUGCCGCGUGUGUGAAGAAGGCCUUCGGGUUGUAAAGCACUUUCAGUGGGGAAGAAAGCCUUGGGGCUAAUAUCCUCGAGGAAGGACAUCACCCACAGAAGAAGCACCGGCUAACUCCGUGCCAGCAGCCGCGGUAAUACGGAGGGUGCGAGCGUUAAUCGGAAUUACUGGGCGUAAAGCGCGCGUAGGCGGUCUGAUAAGCCGGUUGUGAAAGCCCCGGGCUCAACCUGGGACGGGCAUCCGGAACUGUCAGGCUAGAGUGCAGGAGAGGAAGGUAGAAUUCCCGGUGUAGCGGUGAAAUGCGUAGAGAUCGGGAGGAAUACCAGUGGCGAAGGCGGCCUUCUGGACUGACACUGACGCUGAGGUGCGAAAGCGUGGGUAGCAAACAGGAUUAGAUACCCUAGUAGUC
RNAcentral lists this ribosomal RNA (465 nucleotides) under Vreelandella stevensii. Its description in RNAcentral is "partial 16S ribosomal RNA". It matches the Rfam family "Bacterial small subunit ribosomal RNA", at positions 338 to 795 of the family's 1533-position model. The record is from RNAcentral. Lineage: Bacteria; Pseudomonadati; Pseudomonadota; Gammaproteobacteria; Oceanospirillales; Halomonadaceae.